GGUUAAGUUAGAAAGGGCGCACGGUGGAUGCCUUGGCACUAGGAGCCGAUGAAGGACGGGACGAACACCGAUAUGCUUCGGGGAGCUGUAAGCAAGCUUUGAUCCGGAGAUUUCCGAAUGGGGAAACCCACCACUCGUAAUGGAGUGGUAUCCAUAUCUGAAUACAUAGGAUAUGAGAAGGCAGACCCGGGGAACUGAAACAUCUAAGUACCCGGAGGAAGAGAAAGCAAAUGCGAUUCCCUGAGUAGCGGCGAGCGAAACGGGAUCAGCCCAAACCAAGAGGCUUGCCUCUUGGGGUUGUAGGACACUCUGUACGGAGUUACAAAGGAACGAGGUAGAUGAAGAGGUCUGGAAAGGCCCGCCAUAGGAGGUAACAGCCCUGUAGUCAAAACUUCGUUCUCUCCUGAGUGGAUCCUGAGUACGGCGGAACACGUGAAAUUCCGUCGGAAUCCGGGAGGACCAUCUCCCAAGGCUAAAUACUCCCUAGUGACCGAUAGUGAACCAGUACCGUGAGGGAAAGGUGAAAAGCACCCCGGAAGGGGAGUGAAAGAGAUCCUGAAACCGUGUGCCUACAAGUAGUCAGAGCCCGUUAACGGGUGAUGGCGUGCCUUUUGUAGAAUGAACCGGCGAGUUACGAUCCCGUGCAAGGUUAAGCAGAAGAUGCGGAGCCGCAGCGAAAGCGAGUCUGAAUAGGGCGAAUUGAGUACGUGGUCGUAGACCCGAAACCAGGUGAUCUACCCAUGUCCAGGGUGAAGUUCAGGUAACACUGAAUGGAGGCCCGAACCCACGCACGUUGAAAAGUGCGGGGAUGAGGUGUGGGUAGGGGUGAAAUGCCAAUCGAACCUGGAGAUAGCUGGUUCUCUCCGAAAUAGCUUUAGGGCUAGCCUCAAGGUAAGAGUCUCGGAGGUAGAGCACUGAUUGGACUAGGGGCCCCUACCGGGUUACCGAAUUCAGUCAAACUCCGAAUGCCGAUGACUUAUCCUUGGGAGUCAGACUGCGAGUGAUAAGAUCCGUAGUCGAAAGGGAAACAGCCCAGACCGCCAGCUAAGGUCCCAAAGUAUACGUUAAGUGGAAAAGGAUGUGGAGUUGCUUAGACAACCAGGAUGUUGGCUUAGAAGCAGCCACCAUUUAAAGAGUGCGUAAUAGCUCACUGGUCGAGUGACUCUGCGCCGAAAAUGUACCGGGGCUAAACGUAUCACCGAAGCUGCGGACUGUUCUUCGAACAGUGGUAGGAGAGCGUUCUAAGGGCUGUGAAGCAAGACCGGAAGGACUUGUGGAGCGCUUAGAAGUGAGAAUGCCGGUAUGAGUAGCGAAAGAGGGGUGAGAAUCCCCUCCACCGAAUGCCUAAGGUUUCCUGAGGAAGGCUCGUCCGCUCAGGGUUAGUCGGGACCUAAGCCGAGGCCGAAAGGCGUAGGCGAUGGACAACAGGUUGAUAUUCCUGUACCACCUCCUCACCAUUUGAGCAAUGGGGGGACGCAGGAGGAUAGGGUAAGCGCGGUAUUGGAUAUCCGCGUCCAAGCAGUUAGGCUGGGAAAUAGGCAAAUCCGUUUCCCGUGAAGGCUGAGCUGUGAUGGCGAGCGAAUUAUAGUAGCGAAGUUCCUGAUUCCACACUGCCAAGAAAAGCCUCUAGCGAGGUGAGAGGUGCCCGUACCGCAAACCGACACAGGUAGGCGAGGAGAGAAUCCUAAGGUGAUCGAGAGAACUCUCGUUAAGGAACUCGGCAAAAUGACCCCGUAACUUCGGGAGAAGGGGUGCUCUGUUAGGGUGCAAGCCCGAGAGAGCCGCAGUGAAUAGGCCCAGGCGACUGUUUAGCAAAAACACAGGUCUCUGCGAAGCCGUAAGGCGAAGUAUAGGGGCUGACGCCUGCCCGGUGCUGGAAGGUUAAGAGGAGCGCUUAGCGUAAGCGAAGGUGCGAAUUGAAGCCCCAGUAAACGGCGGCCGUAACUAUAACGGUCCUAAGGUAGCGAAAUUCCUUGUCGGGUAAGUUCCGACCCGCACGAAAGGCGCAACGAUCUGGGCACUGUCUCAACGAGAGACUCGGUGAAAUUAUAGUACCUGUGAAGAUGCAGGUUACCCGCGACAGGACGGAAAGACCCCGUGGAGCUUUACUGCAGCCUGAUAUUGAAUGUUGGUACAGCUUGUACAGGAUAGGUAGGAGCCUUGGAAACCGGAGCGCCAGCUUCGGUGGAGGCAUCGGUGGGAUACUACCCUGGCUGUAUUGACUUCUAACCCGCCGCCCUUAUCGGGCGGGGAGACAGUGUCAGGUGGGCAGUUUGACUGGGGCGGUCGCCUCCUAAAAGGUAACGGAGGCGCCCAAAGGUUCCCUCAGAAUGGUUGGAAAUCAUUCGCAGAGUGUAAAGGCACAAGGGAGCUUGACUGCGAGACCUACAAGUCGAGCAGGGACGAAAGUCGGGCUUAGUGAUCCGGUGGUUCCGCAUGGAAGGGCCAUCGCUCAACGGAUAAAAGCUACCCCGGGGAUAACAGGCUUAUCUCCCCCAAGAGUCCACAUCGACGGGGAGGUUUGGCACCUCGAUGUCGGCUCAUCGCAUCCUGGGGCUGUAGUCGGUCCCAAGGGUUGGGCUGUUCGCCCAUUAAAGCGGUACGCGAGCUGGGUUCAGAACGUCGUGAGACAGUUCGGUCCCUAUCCGUCGCGGGCGCAGGAAAUUUGAGAGGAGCUGUCCUUAGUACGAGAGGACCGGGAUGGACGCACCGCUGGUGUACCAGUUGUUCUGCCAAGGGCAUCGCUGGGUAGCUAUGUGCGGACGGGAUAAGUGCUGAAAGCAUCUAAGCAUGAAGCCCCCCUCAAGAUGAGAUUUCCCAUUCCGCAAGGAAGUAAGAUCCCUGAAAGAUGAUCAGGUUGAUAGGUCUGAGGUGGAAGUGUGGCGACACAUGGAGCUGACAGAUACUAAUCGAUCGAGGACUUAACCAA
This 2929-nucleotide ribosomal RNA is filed under the name Bacillus velezensis. Its description in RNAcentral is "23S ribosomal RNA". It matches the Rfam family "Bacterial large subunit ribosomal RNA". Lineage: Bacteria; Bacillati; Bacillota; Bacilli; Caryophanales; Bacillaceae. The record is from RNAcentral.